GGCCCUGCUUGCAGGGUACUCGAGUGGCGAACGGGUGAGUAACACGUGGGUGAUCUGCCCUGCACUUCGGGAUAAGCCUGGGAAACUGGGUCUAAUACCGGAUAGGACCAUCGUUUAGUGUCGGUGGUGGAAAGUUUUUCGGUGCAGGAUGAGCCCGCGGCCUAUCAGCUUGUUGGUGGGGUAAUGGCCUACCAAGGCGUCGACGGGUAGCCGGCCUGAGAGGGUGGACGGCCACAUUGGGACUGAGACACGGCCCAGACUCCUACGGGAGGCAGCAGUGGGGAAUAUUGCACAAUGGGCGCAAGCCUGAUGCAGCGACGCCGCGUGGGGGAUGAAGGCCUUCGGGUUGUAAACUCCUUUCAGCAGGGACGAAGCUUUUGUGACGGUACCUGCAGAAGAAGCACCGGCUAACUACGUGCCAGCAGCCGCGGUAAUACGUAGGGUGCGAGCGUUGUCCGGAAUUACUGGGCGUAAAGAGCUCGUAGGUGGUUUGUCGCGUCGUCUGUGAAAUUCCGGGGCUUAACUCCGGGCGUGCAGGCGAUACGGGCAUAACUUGAGUGCUGUAGGGGAGACUGGAAUUCCUGGUGUAGCGGUGAAAUGCGCAGAUAUCAGGAGGAACACCGAUGGCGAAGGCAGGUCUCUGGGCAGUUACUGACGCUGAGGAGCGAAAGCAUGGGUAGCGAACAGGAUUAGAUACCCUGGUAGUCCAUGCCGUAAACGGUGGGCGCUAGGUGUGGGGGUCUUCCACGACUUCUGUGCCGUAGCUAACGCAUUAAGCGCCCCGCCUGGGGAGUACGGCCGCAAGGCUAAAACUCAAAGGAAUU
This 824-nucleotide ribosomal RNA is filed under the name Corynebacterium variabile. RNAcentral's name for it is "bacterial SSU rRNA". It matches the Rfam family "Bacterial small subunit ribosomal RNA", at positions 72 to 911 of the family's 1533-position model. The record is from RNAcentral. Lineage: Bacteria; Bacillati; Actinomycetota; Actinomycetes; Mycobacteriales; Corynebacteriaceae.